UUAAAUUGAAGAGUUUGAUCAUGGCUCAGAUUGAACGCUGGCGGCAGGCCUAACACAUGCAAGUCGAACGGUAACAGAAAGCAGCUUGCUGCUUUGCUGACGAGUGGCGGACGGGUGAGUAAUGUCUGGGAAACUGCCUGAUGGAGGGGGAUAACUACUGGAAACGGUAGCUAAUACCGCAUAACGUCGCAAGACCAAAGAGGGGGACCUUCGGGCCUCUUGCCAUCGGAUGUGCCCAGAUGGGAUUAGCUUGUUGGUGGGGUAACGGCUCACCAAGGCGACGAU
This 285-nucleotide ribosomal RNA is filed under the name Escherichia coli. RNAcentral describes it as "partial 16S ribosomal RNA". It matches the Rfam family "Bacterial small subunit ribosomal RNA", at positions 1 to 280 of the family's 1533-position model. The record is from RNAcentral. Lineage: Bacteria; Pseudomonadati; Pseudomonadota; Gammaproteobacteria; Enterobacterales; Enterobacteriaceae.